AUGAAAUUAAAUGUUGAUGCGGGGUUUGAUCAAGAUCUACUUGAAGGAUCCGUGGGGGCAAUCAUUCGUGAUCAAAGUGGACAAUUCAUUGCUGCGGCGAAUGAAAAAAUAGGCAUUUGUUUUGAUUCCUUCACUGCAAAGGCUCUGGCUGUCAGGUUUGGGCUGAACCUUGCGAGAACAGUCGGAUGUAGCAGGAUUGUGGUAAGCUGGGACAGCUUGGGGUUAGUGGAAGCCCUAAAAAACGGCAACUCUUCUUCGGUUGCUUCUGCUAUUAUUGACGAUUGUUUCUUCAUGUCCUCUGAUUUCAACCAUGUUACUUAUGAUCAUUGUAAUAGAGAGAGUAAUAAAGUAGCCCAUGAGCUUGCUAGACUAGUUAAGUUUUCUCCUUCUAGUUGCUGGAUGGAUUCAGCGCCUCCUGCGGUGCUCUCUUUUCUUGUAAACGAUACCACUGUGCUUGCUUCUGAAUAG
Molecule: ribosomal RNA, 468 nt
Filed under: Triticum aestivum (bread wheat)
Lineage: Eukaryota; Viridiplantae; Streptophyta; Magnoliopsida; Poales; Poaceae
Description: partial small subunit ribosomal RNA
Source: RNAcentral